UACAGAGGGUGCGAGCGUUGUCCGGAAUCACUGGGCGUAAAGGGCGCGUAGGUGGCGGCAUAAGGCUGUGGUGAAAGUCUGGGGCUCAACUCCAGAUCGGCCGCGGCGACUGUGUCGCUUGGGCACCGUAGAGGCAGAUGGAAUUCCGGGUGUAGCGGUGGAAUGCGUAGAGAUCCGGAAGAACACCGGUGGCGAAGGCGGCCCGCUGGGCUGUGGCUGACGCUGAGGCGCGACAGCGUGGGGAGCAAACAGG
This 253-nucleotide ribosomal RNA is filed under the name uncultured bacterium. RNAcentral's name for it is "partial 16S ribosomal RNA". It matches the Rfam family "Bacterial small subunit ribosomal RNA", at positions 524 to 776 of the family's 1533-position model. The record is from RNAcentral.